This 590-nucleotide ribosomal RNA is filed under the name uncultured Rhizobium sp. RNAcentral's name for it is "bacterial SSU rRNA". It matches the Rfam family "Bacterial small subunit ribosomal RNA", at positions 911 to 1498 of the family's 1533-position model. Lineage: Bacteria; Pseudomonadati; Pseudomonadota; Alphaproteobacteria; Hyphomicrobiales; Rhizobiaceae. The record is from RNAcentral.
UGACGGGGGCCCGCACAAAGGUGGAGGCAUGGGGUUUAAUUGGAAGCAAACGGGCAGACCUUACCAGCUCUUGACAUUCGGGGUUUGGGCAGUGGUGACAUUGUCCUUCAGUUAGGCUGACCCCAGAACAGGUGCUGCAUGGCUGUCGUCAGCCAGUGUCGUGAGAUGUUGGGUUAAGCCCCGCAACGAGCGCAACCCUCGCCCUUAGUUUCCAGCAUUUAGUUGGGCACUAUAAGGGGACUGCCGGUGAUAAGCCGAGAGGAAGGUGGGGAUGACGUCAAGUCCUCAUGGCCCUUACGGGCUGGGCUACACACGUGCUACAAUGGUGGUGACAGUGGGCAGCGAGACAGCGAUGUCGAGCUAAUCUCCAAAAGCCAUCUCAGUUCGGAUUGCACUCUGCAACUCGAGUGCAUGAAGUUGGAAUCGCUAGUAAUCGCAGAUCAGCAUGCUGCGGUGAAUACGUUCCCGGGCCUUGUACACACCGCCCGUCACACCAUGGGAGUUGGUUUUACCCGAAGGUAGUGCGCUAACCGCAAGGAGGCAGCUAACCACGGUAGGGUCAGCGACUGGGGUGAAGUCGUAACAAGGUA